Long non-coding RNA from Peromyscus eremicus (cactus mouse), 1512 nucleotides. RefSeq lists it as uncharacterized. The transcript has 2 exons. The record is from RefSeq and is a predicted model, not a curated record. NCBI's taxonomy places the organism in Eukaryota, Metazoa, Chordata, Mammalia, Rodentia, Cricetidae.
CUCCCAGCGAAGCUGCUGCAGCAGCAGCAGGUGGGCGGGGCCCUGGGCCCGCAGCGCCGCCUCCCGCAGCUCCAGCCCGCGCUUCUCCCGCCGCGCCAGCUGCAGCCGCAGCACCAGGUCCGCCAGACUGUCCUGGGGGAGGGGGGCGCGAGAGUCAGCUCCUCCGGGGGUGCCCACGGAGGCCAGGAGAACACCCCGACCACCGCCGGGAAAUGACAUUGUGGAAGCGUCUAGAAUUUCUCAGACCUCACAUCUUUUUAUUUAUUGUUUGAAAUUUAUUUUAUGGCAGGCAGACAGAACCGUGCAGACCUUAUCCCGGCACUUGAGGCAGAGGCAGGUGAUCUCUGUGCAUUCAAGCCCAGCCCGAUCUACAUAAUGUAAUGUGACCAGCGGCCUCAGGCUCAGACAGUCACGACUUGAUGGACUGCACCCUGGAACUGCCAGUCAAGAUGGAACAAAUCUUCCUUCCUGAAAUUGUCCCUGUCAGGGAUUUCAUCAGAGCAACACAAAGAUAACUUACAGAAUCUUAUGGAGAACCUAAUCAGGAGGAGGAACUCCUAUGCAGUCCGCAAAGCCUGAACUCCAACUUUCUUUCAUGUAAGAAACCAGCUGCCCAUCCAAGGGAAACCCUGCUUGCCUCUGAUCUCCAAUGACAUCAUCAAGGGUGUGCUGUGAGAGUGUCAGCACAUUCCUACCCGAGUCGCCACCAGGUCCUGCUGCAUCUGAGACUUCUCUAGCCGGGGCAGGGCUGGGCCAGGCUGUAUCUCCAGAACGGCCUGCACUGUUGCUUCUGCAUGAGGCAUGGUGGGCCUGGGUGUGGUGGCAGGGCAGAGUGCUGGGGGGAUCUUCACCAGAGCCCAGCGUUCCCGGAGACGCCGGAUGUAGCCAUGGAGCUGAGCAGCCAGUUCCUCUGGUGUGGGCUUGUCCACACUGCUCCCCUCUGGGCUGCAGGAGACAGGAAGCAGACCUGUGCUACACAGCUGUUGCCAAGGCACAGCCCCGAAGAGCCACCCCAGCCCUGUGCCAGCUGGGCAAUCUUCCAGCAAGACAAUAUGGCAGGUGCGGGGGCUCGGUCCGUAGAGAGCCUGCCUAGCGUACGUGAGGCUCCAUCCCUGGCACCAUAUAAAUAUCCCAACUCUCAGGAGAUGGAGGCAGGAGGAUCAGGAGUUCAAGGUCAUUCUCAGAUACAUAGCAAGGUGGUGGAGCCUAGGUGGUAACUAGGCCACCAGGGGAGUUUGAAUUCAAUUCUGCGGUGUGUGCGCACAGCCCACACUGGACACUGAGGCUGCACUGGCAGCUGAGACUCUGCAGUGCAGGAGCUCAUGGGCACUGGGAUGGACAGUACCUAGAAGUGUACUGCUAACCCUGCCAGGUCCACACAGGCCUUCACCAGUGCCUCCUUCCUUUGGGCUACACCAUGCCCUGGACACUCCCUGUAGCUCUGCUCCCUGUAGCUUCCUGUUGCCAUGAUGGAUUGACACCUCUGGAGCCAUAAACCAAACAUUAAUAAUU